GAUGAACGCUAGCGGGAGGCCUAACACAUGCAAGCCGAGCGGUAUUGUUUCUUCGGAAAUGAGAGAGCGGCGUACGGGUGCGUAACACGUGUGCAACCUGCCUUUAUCUGGGGGAUAGCCUUUCGAAAGGAAGAUUAAUACUCCAUAAUAUAUUGAACGGCAUCGUUUAAUAUUGAAAGCUCCGGCGGAUAGAGAUGGGCACGCGCAAGAUUAGCUAGUUGGUGAGGUAACGGCUCACCAAGGCGAUGAUCUUUAGGGGGCCUGAGAGGGUGAUCCCCCACACUGGUACUGAGACACGGACCAGACUCCUACGGGAGGCAGCAGUGAGGAAUAUUGGUCAAUGGGUGCAAGCCUGAACCAGCCAUCCCGCGUGAAGGACGACUGCCCUAUGGGUUGUAAACUUCUUUUGUAUAGGGAUAAACCUACCCUCGGGAGGGUAGCUGAAGGUACUAGACGAAUAAGCACCGGCUAACUCCGUG
This 479-nucleotide ribosomal RNA is filed under the name uncultured bacterium. RNAcentral describes it as "partial 16S ribosomal RNA". It matches the Rfam family "Bacterial small subunit ribosomal RNA", at positions 28 to 507 of the family's 1533-position model. The record is from RNAcentral.